CGUUCAGUAUCGUUCAAAAAAAGCGUCCCUCUUGUGGCACCUUCCCAAAAUUAGGCAGCUAAAUGGCUCUCUUACAACAGUCCGUUUGUGUGUUCUGGGGCUUUCUUACUACUUUGUUUUGUUUUCAUUUCAAAGUAGUCAAAGAGAUGAUAAUAAUAGAUGGAAAGCAAAAUGAAAGCCAUUCCAUGCAAUGCUUCUGCCACUGUACAAUAAUAAUGCAAUUAAAUGCGGGGCUCUCCUUUCACGUGGACAACCCAAAAUCCAAGCAAGAUCCCAACAAGAACCCAGAUAGCCUAAAGCUAAAGGAGGAGGGGACCUAUUUUGGAUAUCAACUGAAUGAGAGCGACAAGAGCUGAGUCCAAGAGAACAUUACCCAAGUCAAUAUGCAUCAGAGAGAGAGAGAGAGAGAGCCCGGCUGC
Molecule: long non-coding RNA, 419 nt
Filed under: Elaeis guineensis (African oil palm)
Lineage: Eukaryota; Viridiplantae; Streptophyta; Magnoliopsida; Arecales; Arecaceae
Description: long non-coding RNA (EGUI_LNC028741)
Source: RNAcentral